RNAcentral lists this ribosomal RNA (498 nucleotides) under uncultured bacterium. RNAcentral's name for it is "bacterial SSU rRNA". It matches the Rfam family "Bacterial small subunit ribosomal RNA", at positions 8 to 518 of the family's 1533-position model. The record is from RNAcentral.
AGAGUUUGAUCCUGGCUCAGGAUGAACGCUGGCGGCGUGCCUAACACAUGCAAGUCGAACGAGAGAGGUUGGUGCUUGCACCGACCAAUCGAGUGGCGGACGGGUGAGUAACGCGUGGGUAACCUGCCUCAUACAGGGGGAUAACAACUGGAAACGGUUGAUAAUACCGCAUAAGCGCACGGUAUCGCAUGAUACAGUGUGAAAAGCUCCGGUGGUAUGAGAUGGACCCGCGUCUGAUUAGCUAGUUGGCGGGGUAACGGCCCACCAAGGCGACGAUCAGUAGCCGGCCUGAGAGGGUGAACGGCCACAUUGGGACUGAGACACGGCCCAAACUCCUACGGGAGGCAGCAGUGGGGAAUAUUGCACAAUGGGGGAAACCCUGAUGCCAGCGACGCCGCGUGAGCGAAGAAGUAUUUCGGUAUGUAAAGCUCUAUCAGCAGGGAAGAAAAUGACGGUACCUGACUAAGAAGCCCCGGCUAACUACGUGCCAGCAGCCGC